Long non-coding RNA from Diceros bicornis minor, 1166 nucleotides. RefSeq lists it as uncharacterized. The transcript has 4 exons. The record is from RefSeq and is a predicted model, not a curated record. Lineage: Eukaryota; Metazoa; Chordata; Mammalia; Perissodactyla; Rhinocerotidae.
CAUGGAUAAAUGCUUCCCACUCCCUGAAGGUCCUUCGUGGCAGAGAGGAGCUUGGGGAAUGAGGACUUGGGGUAGGGAAGAACAAGACAGAGCCAGGGACUGAAAGUUAAGGGUCCAGGAACAAGACCACUCAUACUUGGAUCCUUGGGGUCCUCAUUUGGAAGUAGGGGGAAUCAUUGCCCUGGCUGAGGUGAGGAUGCCUUCUGAGAAAACUAGACACCCCAGAGGGGAGUGGCAAAGAGGGCGGCAGGAGUGUCUUCUGAGGUCCCUUCCACAGCCCUGAAAUCCUUCAGGGCCUGCUGUUUUACUCCUGGGACUCCGGAGAGCCUUUGCCUUGAGGUCACCCAAAGAAAGAUUCCUGCCUGGGGCUGCAGUGCUAGUGCUGGCCACCAGGGGACAGGCAGCCUCCUGGUUCAUGGUGCCCACUGAGCUUUGCUGGAGCAAUUGGGGCAGGAAGAGCCAUGCAGAAUGUCAUUUCGGCCACGCCUCUGCUUCAGAAACAAUAUGCACCUCCUACGAUUAGUGAUCAUUUCUACAGAAUGAGCUGGGCAGAGGCAGGAAGAAGAGCUCCAAGAUCUCCCCAUUUAUUUAUUUAUUCGGAGAUUUAUUUAUUUAUUUAUUCCGAGAUUAUGGCUCACCCUGUGCCAGGUGCCAAAUGGUCUCUCUCUUCCAGGAGCUUUCAGUCUGGAGGAGAGAAGGACAAAAGCACAGAAGCAAGACAUGUGAAAGAAAAGAAGCUCCACCCAGGACAUUGUCAAGGAGCUGGUUGAUGGGUUCAACUCCUCCAUCUCACUAGACAAGGGGCAGAUGCAUCUGGCGAUGAACAAUGGCCAACACUGGUCUGGGUCUCAUGCUGGGUGGAUCUUCUCUGCAACAUGGUCAGUCUGAAAUGGAGACCGUAUUUUUUCACUGUGCAGGAGAAGAGAUCUUGUUUCUAUCCUGAAUCACCAUCUACCUCACUUACCAGAGAUAAUGGAGAAAAACAAAUUCAUUCACAAUUGGAAAGGGAAAUGGAAGAUGGUACCCCUAUUCUCUAAAUAUAUUUGAUUUAAAUGAAGAAGAUCCCUUUAAUCACACUCACGGAGAUGCGUAACAUUAAAAUUUGUUGUGGAUAGCAGUGUCUGUCCAUGUGUUACUGAAUAAAGCACUACCGCACAACGAGUAAA